UUCCCCAAACCCAUCAGCUCACCUCACACCCCCUCCCUUUUUUUCCUUUCUGUACCCUUAAAACCUCCCUCCUUUUCGAGAUCGGGGCUUCUCUGCUCUCCUGCUGCGCCAGGACCAAGAAGCCCGGGUUCGGGCUUGUAAAUAAACAACCUCUCGCUUUUGCAUCGGACUUGGUCUCCAGGUGAUUUACGUGGGGGAUCCCGUGACUCCGGCACAACAUUUAGGGGCUUGUCUGGGAUAACCCCCCUAAAUCACCAAGUACCUGCUCCAGAGGUGUGUACGUGCCGGCCUUUGUCUUGUCCUGUUCCGUGUUAGUUCCAUUUGUUGAAUCUGUAGUCGGGAUGUGGAAUCCCCGACAGAGUAGAAGUGGGGAUGCCCCUUGAAUGGAACCUCAGUCCAUGGUCAAGAAUAUCACGGGGAGGCAAUCCUUCUGGUUGAGAGACAAGGCAGGUUGCAACCGCCAGACGGGGUUACGCCGUCGUCUCAUUUUCAGUUUUGCCUGAGAACCUGCAAGGGCAGGCUUCUGUCUUCUGGAGGAAUCUUGGGUGUUGUUUUGUCUGUGUUUUAUUAUAUUUGGAGGGCGACAUGGGACAGAUGCAGAUGACCCCCCUCUCCCUAACUUUGACUCAUUUCCAGGACUUCAAAGACAAAGCCUGAGAGUACAACUUUAAUGUGUCCAGAGGUAAACUUGUGAUUUUUUGCAGGAAUGAAUGGCCGGUGUACCACGUGGGAUGGCCACCAGAGGGCACUUUUCAUCUCCCCAUUAUCUUUCCAGGUCAAAGAUAUAGUCCAUUGAUCUGGGACCAGGCACCCGGACCAGAUCCCAUAUAUAACUGCUUGGCAGGACCUCAUGGAGGACCCGCCAUUGUGGUUAAAACCCCUCCUUCCUCUGUCAGGCAAGGAAGUAGCUAAACUCCUAGCCUUGAAGGAGAAAAAGGAGAAGUCCCCUGAACCCACUGCCCCUCCCCUGGUCCUCCAAGGAGGAACUGAUCCAGAAGUGCUCUUCCCCCCUCCCUGUCAACCCUCACCUAGGGGGGCACCUGUUCCUCAGAGUCCACCAGGCAGCGAGGUCACUCCAGCCCCAGGUCCAGUGGGUAGCCACCGGAGCCCACCUCACACCGAGCGCCUCACAAUCCGAUGGCAGAUUCCACAGUGCUGCCUCUCUGAGCGGGCCCCCCUAAUGGAGCAGACCCCCCGAAUCAGCUGCACCAGUAUUGGCCCUUUGCCACAAGUGGUCUCUAUAACUGGAAAAUGCAGAACCCUAAGUUCUCCGAAAAACCUACUGCCUUGAUUGACCUCUUAGACUCAAUUCUUUUUACCCACUAGCCUACCUGGGAUGACUGUCACCAACUGUUACAGGUUCUUUUCACCACUGAGGAAUGGAACCACAUCUUGGCUGAGGCCAGGAAGGCUGUCGAGGGUGCAGAUGGAAGCCCCACCACCAACCUGGCUCUUAUUGAUGCCGCUUUUCCUCUUACUCACCUCGAUUGGGACUUUAAUACGGGAACAGGUCAGGUAGGACUCCAAGUCUACAGCCAGACUCUGAUGAGGGGUCUCCGUAAAGUUUGGCUAAGGUAGGUAAUGUACAGCAGGAAAAGACAGAACCCCCAGCAGGUUUCUUAGAAAGAAUUAUAGAGGCAUUCCGCAUGCACACACCCCUAGACCCUGAAGCUGAGGAGAAUACAGCAGCAGUUGUCAUGUUCUUUGUUAACCCGUCAGCUCCAGACAUUAAGCGCAAGCUGCAGAGAAUAGAUAGACUGGGUGAGAAGUCUUUGCAGGACCUCCUAGAAGUUGCUGAAAGAGUCUACAACAACUGUGAAACCCCCAAAGAAAAGCAAAUGAAAGCAGCUAAAAGACAGACCCAAGAAUUAACCAGGAUCCUCCUGGCCUCCACGUCCGUGACCUCAGAUGAAAGAGAAAGGCACUACUCCAACUGGCGGCAGGAGGUAAGGAGGACUACUAGGUGGGGAAAGGCUCCGCCUCCAGAAGGACCAGUGCGCCUAUUGUAAGGAACAUGGACACUGGGCCCGUGAGUGCCCCAAGAAACCACCUCCCAGACCUUCAUGCCCUCCCUCAGUGCCAAUCUUGGAACUAAGCGGGUUCAAAGGGUAGGGGGGUCAGGGCUCGCCACCCCUCCCUGAGCCCCGGGUAACUCUCAGAGUGGAGGGGACCCCAAUUAAUUUCCUGGUAGAUAUUGGAGCCCAGCAUUCAGUCCUGACACAGGACCACGGCCCUAUGGAUCCCGAAAAUCAUGGGUCCAGGGGGCCACAGGCAUCAAACAAUAUUCAUGGACUACCUGAAGAACCCUGGACUUAGGUAUGGGCUGGGUAUCCCAUGCGUUCAUAGUCAUCCCAGACUGCCCCUACCCCCUCCUUGGGUGUGACUUCCUAACCAAGGUAGGGGCUCAUAUCGUCUUCAAAGAUGAAGGACCCCUUGUCACAGACCAGUAUGGGAGCCCCAUACAAAUACUCACCUUACAACUUGAACAUGAGUACAGACUGCACCAGCAGCAGCCUAAGAGCCAUCAGCUGACAGAUAUCACUGUAUGGCUGAAAACCUACCCACUUGCCUGGGCUGAGACUGGAGGAGUGGGGCUAGCUGCCCACCGACCACUGGUCAUCGUAGAGCUCAAGCCAAUAGCUGAACCCAUACGAGUACGGCAGUAUCCCAUGUCUCAAGAGGCCCGGUGGGGCAUCACGCCUCACAUCCGGAGGCUUUUUAAGAGCAGGAUACUAGUGCCCUGUCAAUCUGCAUGGAGCACUCCCCUGUUGCCUGUAAAGAAGCCACUGACUAAAUGACUACAGACCAGUCCAGGACCUAAAAGAGGUCAACAAGCAGAGCCAGGAAAUGUUUGCCUUUGAGUGGAACGAUGAAGAGCAAGGGAUCCAUGGUCAACUUACCUGGACCCGGCUGCUGCAAGGAUUUAAGAACUCCCCCACCAUUUUCAAUGAAGCCCUACAUGAGGACCUGAGUGAGUACCGGCAGCAGCACCCUCACCUGACUCUUUUACAGUAUGGAGAUGACAUUCUGAUUGCAGCCGAGACAGAAGCAGAAUGCCACCAAGGCACCCAGGACUUGCUGACUGCACUAGGAGCUCUGGGGUACCGGGCCUCUGCCAAGAAAGCUCAGAUUUGUCAAUGAACUGUGAGUUAUCUGGGGUACAUCCUUAAGAAUGGGCAGUGGUGGCUGUCCCAGGCAAGAAAAGAAACAGUUCUGAAAAUCCCCCCUCCCCGGCCCCCACCGACCACACAGCGAGUGGUGCAGGAGUUCCUUGGGUCAGCCGGGUUAUGCCGUCUGUGGAUUCCGGGGUUCGUGGAGAUAGCAAAGCCCCUCUGUGAGGCCACCCAGGACAGCCUGCCUUUCCAGUGAAGUGCAGAACAAGAAAGAGCCUUCCAGGCCCUGAAAAGGGCCUUGGUCUCUGCCCCAGCGCUAGGACUCCCAGAUAUUACCAAGCUCUUUCAUCUGUAUGUAGAUGAGCAGAAAGGAAUAGCAAAAGGAGUGCUUGCUCAAUCACUUGGUCCCUGAACCCGGCCGGUCACCUACCUGUCAAAGAAACUAGACCCUGUAGGGGCAGGCUGUCCCCCAUGCCUACACACAUCAUUGCAGCUACUGCAUUGCUGGUUUAAAAUGCAGAUAAAUUGACUUUAAGGCAGGAGCUAUUGAUCACGACCCCUCAUGCCAUUGAGGGAGUCCUCAAACAGCCACCAGAUCAGUGGGUUAGCCAUGCCCGACUCUCCCACUACCAGGGCCUUCUGCCGAACCCUCCACAAAUCUGAUUCCUGCCAAAGAUCUCACUCAAUCCGGUGACCCUACUGCUGGAUCUGGACCUAGACGCCCACCCCCCAUGACUGUGUUGACAUCCUAGCCCAGGUUCACAGCGUACGCCAGGACCUUAUGGACCAACCCCUCCCUGACAUGGAGGCCACCUGGUACACAGAUGGGAGCAGCUUCAUACAAGAUGGAUGCAGACCCUGGAUCCCCAACACUUCCACCAUUCCCGGACUAGAAGACCUAAAAUGGAUAAAGCAGAUCCCACAGGCCCACUCCCCUGAGAAGUACAAUGGAUGGUACGUCACCUGUGAUGGCAAAGUGCUUGUGCCAGCAAAACUGGGACAGGAAAUCCUCCAUAGGAUCCAUUCAUCCACCCACCUAGGGUCACGCAAAAUGAAGAACUUGCUGCGCCAUGCCAAAAUCAAAAUACAAAACCAGAAUACUAAAAUUGAUGAGGUCGUAACUUCAUGCAAAGUAUGCAUUAUGACUAACAGUGUAUCUAGUUUCCACAAUUCAGGAUCCAGAGAGCAGGGAACGGAGCCAGGUGCAUACUGGGAAGUGGACUUUACUGAAGUUAAGCCAGGCACAGUGAGCUGAUUGGGAGAAACUUAUAGCCCUCUACAGUUCAGGACCUGUCCCUGAACCACAUGCUUUCUGGCCUGGAGACUGGGUGUACAUGAAACGUCACCCACAAAAAACGCUGGAGUCCCAGUAGAAGGGUCCAUACACCGUGGUCCUCAUUACCCCUACCACACUCAAGGUUGAUGGCAUCACCUCCUGGAUACAUCACACGCACGUUAGCCUAGCCUACCUGUUCGCCAUCAAAGAAGACUCCACCUCCCAGCGGAAACUCUGACGGGGCCCUGAUAACCCACUGAAGCUUAAACUGUGGAAAUGCCAAGAUCCCUGAUGCCACCAUAUGUGUACUACUUACUGACUUAUUCUGCCUUGCUGAUUAUACCCCUCACUGCUAACCCUCAUCACCCCGUAAAGAUAACGUGGCUAGUUAUAGAUGCUAGCACAGGGACAGUGCUCAACCAGACCUCUGGAGUUCACCCUAAGGGUACUUGGUUCCCGGAGCUUAUAGACGACCUACAUAAUCUGGUAGGAAUUAGACCCUGCCCCUCAGGGUAGCAGUCAUAUUGGUCCAGCAAUACUCUAACCAGGUACUUUUAUGUCUGCCCCAGUCACCUUCCUAAUAAGUGUGGGGGAGCAAGUUCAUAUUUAUGUAACUCAUGGAACUAUGUUUCUACUAGGCAAUUAUGGUGGAACCCCCCAAGACAAGGAGACUUGAUCCUAGUAAAGAGGAAGGAUGUUUGGAAAGGGCACGCACUCCUGUGCAGGAGGCCCCAAACCUGACACAGUCAGUAUCACCUUUACGGAGAAAGGAAAGUGAAUGCUAGAUUGGGAACUCGGCAAAUGGUGGGGUGUGAGACUGUAUAACAUGCACGGCACGGACCCGGGUAAUAUUUUCCAACUCAAAAUCUUAUACACCCCUGUUAGUGAUAAGCCUGCUGCAGUGGGCCUCAAUAUAGUGCUUCAGCCUCCCCUGUAGUCACCUCUAAGCUCCGUGGCUCCCCUGACUCUCCGGACUGGGCUCCCCUGACCCUCCGGACUGAGCAUUUAGUACCCAAAGUCUAAUUCUAAGCACCACACCUGUGCCUACCACAGAUCCUGAUCCACUUUGGAAAUUAGUCAUUGCUACAUACCAGGUCUUAAAUACUUCCAGACCAGACCUUACUGAGUCCUGUUGGUUAUGUGUAGAAGCCAGACCCCCAUACUAUGAGGGAAUUGCCCUAAUAAGGAAACCUAAGAUCAACUCUCAAGCUAGUGACUGCUGUUGGCAACAGUCUAAGCCCCGAGUCACCCUACAGUCCUUUAUAGGACAAGGAACCUGUAUGGGUCAGACACUCCCCCAAUACCAGCAUCUAUGUAAUCAAACUCUCACCUGGGAUGGGACUGGAUCUGUAAUUCCUACCAACAAUUCCUGGUGGGCUUGUUCAACAGGGCUCACCCCAUGUCUACAAGGGGCAGUCCUUGAUUUAACCUGGAGCUUUUGUGUCUUAGCGCAGCUCAUCCCCAAGCUGGUCUGUCACUCAGAGGAGGACUUAUAUCAGGCAUAUGAGUUAGCUGCAGGCACACUUACAAGCACCAAGAGAGAACCAGUCACAGCAAUAACUCUAGCCAUGCUCAUGGGACUGGGUAUAGCAGGAGCAGGCACAGGAAUCUCCUCCUUAGUCCUAUAAGACAAGAACUACGGAGCUCUGCGCGCUGCAAUAGACUUAGACAUAGAAAGAAUAGAAAACUCCAUUUCCCACCUUCAAGAGUCCCUAACUUCCCUCUCUGAAAUAGUACUCCAAAAUAGGCAAGGGCUAGACUUACUGUUCCCUCAGGAAGGUGGAUUAUGCGCAGCCCUAGGAGAAGAAUGCUGUUUUUAUACUGACCACUCAGGAGUAGUCAAACAGUCCAUGCAGUUAGUGAGAGAAGGUCUCCACAAAAGAAAACUCAAGCGGGAGCAGUCUCAGAGCUGGUAUGAAUCUUUGUUCAACAAGUCACCCUGGCUCACAACUUUAAUUUCAAUCAAUAGCGGGCCCACUUGUAAUCCUAUUACUGCUAUUAACUUUUGGCCCCUGCAUAAUUAAUAAAUUACUGGCUUUCAUCUGAGCUAGAAUUAAUACUGUUCAAUUGAUGGUCUUACAGGCACAGUAUAGCCCCCUCGGCACUGAAAACACCAGCAAUGGGCAUAGAGCUAGGGCUCAUAAAAUGCACUGAAGACCCAUGAUUGGAUCUUCUAUGCACCAGAAAUGGGAGGAAUGUAAGAACCAAGUUAACUCCAUUUUGUUAAAACUAACUUCAUCUUGUCCCUCAGCCUUCAUUUUGUAGCUGCAUACCAAAGGCAUUAGGCAACCUGUUCCCUCCCCCGAUGCCCAUCCUUGCCCCAUGAUCCAUGCUGUUACACAACAUCUGCUCCGAGCGAUAACAGCACUCUCCAGACAGCCAAGGACAAAUACUGCUCAGUUCCCCAAACCCCCUAUCAGCUCGCCUCAGCGGCUCACCUCACACCCCCUCCCUUUUUUCCUUUCUGUACCCUUACAACCUCCCUCCUUUUCGAGGUUGGGGCUUCUCUGCUCUCCUGCUGCACCAGGACCAGGAAGCUUGGGUUCGAGCUUGUAAAUAAACAACCUCUUGCUUUUGC
Long non-coding RNA from Nycticebus coucang (slow loris), 6967 nucleotides. RefSeq lists it as uncharacterized. The transcript is spliced from 4 exons. The record is from RefSeq and is a predicted model, not a curated record. Lineage: Eukaryota; Metazoa; Chordata; Mammalia; Primates; Lorisidae.